AAACAUCGCCUCCUGCAGUAUAUAGGAGGUCCAGCCUGCCCAGUGACCAAGUUAAACGGCCGCGGUACCCUAACCGUGCGAAGGUAGCGCAAUCACUUGUUCUUUAAAUGAGGACUAGUAUGAAUGGCAUCACGAGGGUUACACUGUCUCCCACCUCUAAUCAGUGAAACUGAUCUCCCCGUGAAGAAGCGGGGAUAAAACUAUAAGACGAGAAGACCCCAUGGAGCUUCAAACCCGGCAUCAACCAUUAACAUUAAUACCACAUUAAAUAAAUGGACCUGACUGCUGGUUUUAGGUUGGGGUGACCGCGGAGCAUAACAAAACCUCCAUGAUGAACGACCUCCUCUCUAAUCCGAGAGCCACCACUCAAAGAAUCAAAAAAUUGACAUUUAUUGACCCAAACUAUUUUGAUCAACGAACCAAGUUACCCUGGGGAUAACAGCGCAAUCCAUUUCAAGAGCCCCUAUCGACAAAUGGGUUUACGACCUCGAUGUUGGAUCAGGGUAUCCUAGUGGUGCAGCCACUACUAAAGGUUCGUUUGUUCAACGAUUAAAACCCUACGUGAUCUGA
Molecule: ribosomal RNA, 570 nt
Filed under: Gastrophryne olivacea (western narrow-mouthed toad)
Lineage: Eukaryota; Metazoa; Chordata; Amphibia; Anura; Microhylidae
Description: partial 16S ribosomal RNA
Rfam family: Bacterial large subunit ribosomal RNA
Source: RNAcentral